GGGUAUUUAGUCUAAAUAAGACACUUGAUUUCGGCUCAAAAGAUUGAAGUUAAAUUCCUCAAGCACCCU
This 69-nucleotide transfer RNA is filed under the name Centrobranchus choerocephalus. RNAcentral describes it as "tRNA-Arg". It matches the Rfam family "tRNA". Rfam says of the family: Transfer RNA (tRNA) molecules are approximately 80 nucleotides in length. Their secondary structure includes four short double-helical elements and three loops (D, anti-codon, and T loops). Lineage: Eukaryota; Metazoa; Chordata; Actinopteri; Myctophiformes; Myctophidae. The record is from RNAcentral. RNAcentral also lists the same sequence under 1 other name.